Long non-coding RNA from Tribolium castaneum (red flour beetle), 885 nucleotides. RefSeq lists it as uncharacterized. The transcript has 3 exons. The record is from RefSeq and is a predicted model, not a curated record. Lineage: Eukaryota; Metazoa; Arthropoda; Insecta; Coleoptera; Tenebrionidae.
AGCUGCCCCCCUGACCAUUUCAAUCGGGGCUGCGUUCCUGCAACAAAAAACCGCAACGUGAAAAACUGCCCAUCCAACCAUCAAGUUUACAAUUUAGUUACGUCCGGUGCGCAAAUAGCCGAGCCGAAUUAAGCGCUCUAUCCGGGCUUGCAUUAGCGUGAGCACUUUUAUCGAUUAGCACGACGAUGGUUUAUCAAUAUUGCCAUUAAAAUUCCUCGUGCAUGGUGCCCUUGUCAACUCGCCUGACCGAACAAACUCCGACUUGGUCGUAUGCAGGAUUAGGAAUGUCGAGGGUGAGGGUUAUUGCAUUCGGCAGAGGGGUGAUGUGGAACCACUGGACGUGCAAUAUCGAUGCACGCACCCCUUGAUAGGUUAAUGUUCCAGACAUCAACAGGAGUUUACGACUUCAGGACGCACGAGGGACGCAUUAGUUUUAGCGGAAUUAGACGAAAAUGACAAUUUAGAAAAAAUAUAUUUCGAAUAAAGAAAGCCAUUGGCGAAAGGGUCAACAACAUAACUUCUUCGAUUUGAGAAAAACGGACAUUUAUUGAAACAACUUUUGUUUUUAUUGUCUUCUUGCAAGAAAUUUCAUCAUGAAAGGAGCUCAAGGGGAGUGGUCAUGACGUCGUACUAAGUAAAUUGUGCCUUACGUUACAUGUUCGAUAAAUCUAUAUUUAAGAUACGCCCCACAAUACAAGUUUUCUCACUUUGCUUACAAGAGCAAGAUAGUAUAGUCCAGUGAAAUAAAGCUUCAAAUCAAAAUUUGGAGCAUAUACUUGAAUUUUUGAAAUACACAUACUAGAAAAGUAUAGGGAUAUUAGUAAAUUUUCUGAAUAAUGAUGUAAUAAAUGCGAUUUUUGGCAUUUUUUUGAAACAAAUUGUUAU